RNAcentral lists this ribosomal RNA (391 nucleotides) under uncultured bacterium. RNAcentral's name for it is "bacterial SSU rRNA". It matches the Rfam family "Bacterial small subunit ribosomal RNA", at positions 362 to 770 of the family's 1533-position model. The record is from RNAcentral.
UAUUGCACAAUGGGGGAAACCCUGAUGCAGCGACGCCGCGUGAGUGAAGAAGUAUUUCGGUAUGUAAAGCUCUAUCAGCAGGGAAGAUAAUGAAGGUACAUGACUAAGAAGCCCCCGCUAACUACCUGCCAGCAGCCGCGGUAAUACGUAGGGGGCAAGCGUUAUCCGGAUUUACUGGGUGUAAGGGGUGCGUAGGUGGCAGGGCAAGUCAGAUGUGAAAGCCCGGGGCUCAACCCCGGUACUGCAUUUGAAACUGUCCAGCUGGAGUGCAGGAGAGGUAAGCGGAAUUCCUAGUGUAGCGGUGAAAUGCGUAGAUAUUAGGAGGAACACCAGUGGCGAAGGCGGCUUACUGGACUGUAACUGACACUGGGGCACGAAAGCGUGGGGAGCA